RNAcentral lists this microRNA (23 nucleotides) under Heligmosomoides polygyrus. RNAcentral's name for it is "hpo-miR-5896-5p". The record is from miRBase by way of RNAcentral. Lineage: Eukaryota; Metazoa; Nematoda; Chromadorea; Rhabditida; Heligmosomidae.
AUGGGCAAUGCACCCUGAUCAGA